This 65-nucleotide transfer RNA is filed under the name Stolotermes ruficeps. RNAcentral's name for it is "tRNA-Met". The record is from RNAcentral. Lineage: Eukaryota; Metazoa; Arthropoda; Insecta; Blattodea; Termopsidae.
AGAAAAGUAAGCUAAUAAAGCUAAUGGGUUCAUACCCCAUAAAUAGAGUAAACCUCUCUUCUCUA